Molecule: non-coding RNA, 74 nt
Organism: Podarcis lilfordi (Lilford's wall lizard)
Lineage: Eukaryota; Metazoa; Chordata; Lepidosauria; Squamata; Lacertidae
Source: the annotation of a GenBank genome assembly
AGAGGGGCAUAGCUCAGUGGUAGGGCAUCUGGUUUGCAUGUAGCAGGUCCCAGGUUCAAUCCCCGGGCUCUCCA